Molecule: ribosomal RNA, 1321 nt
Filed under: uncultured bacterium
Lineage: Bacteria
Description: bacterial SSU rRNA
Rfam family: Bacterial small subunit ribosomal RNA
Source: RNAcentral
AUGAACGUUGGCGGCGUGCCUAAUACAUGCAAGUCGAACGAAGACUGUNNNAAUACUGUCUUAGUGGCGAACGGGUGAGUAACGCGUGGGUGACCUGCCCCGAAGUGUGGGAUAACAGUCCGAAAGGAUUGCUAAUACUGCAUAAUAUCCAAGAGAUUAGAUGCUUUUGGAUUAAAGGAGUAAUUCGCUUCGGGAGGGGCCCGCGUCCCAUCAGCUAGUUGGUAAGGUAAUGGCUUACCAAGGCGAUGACGGGUAGGGGACCUGAGAGGGUGGCCCCCCACAAUGGAACUGAAACACGGUCCAUACACCUACGGGUGGCAGCAGUAGGGAAUAUUAGUAAUGGGCGAAAGCCUGAACUAGCAACGCCGCGUGUGCGAAGAAGGCCUUCGGGUCGUAAAGCACUUUUUGAGAGGAUGAGGAAGGAAGGUACCUCCAGAAUAAGUCUCGGCUAACUACGUGCNNNGCAGCCGCGGUAACACGUAGGAGGCAAACGUUAUCCGGAUUCACUGGGCGUAAAGCGCGUGCAGGUGGUUUCGUAAGUAGGGCGUGAAAGCUCCCGGCUCAACUGGGAGAGGCCGUACUAAACUGCGGAGCUAGAGGAUGGUAGAGGGAGGUGGAAUUCCAGGUGUAGUGGUGAAAUGCGCAGAUAUCUGGAGGAACACCAGUGGCGAAGGCGGCCUCCUGGACCAUACCUGACACUCAGACGCGAAAGCUAGGGUAGCAAACGGAAUUAGAGACUCCGGUAGUCCUAGCCCUAAACGAUGCAGACUAGGCGUCGGCGGUUUAAUCACCGUCGGUGUCCAAGCUAACGCGAUAAGUCUGCCGCCUGAGGACUACGGCCGCAAGGCUAAAACUCAAAGGAAUUGACGGGUCCCCGCACAAGCAGCGGAGCGUGUGGUUUAAUUCGAUGCUCCGCGAAGAACCUUACCUGGGUUUGACAUAACAGUGGUAGAGAAACGAAAGUGGACCGACCCUUCGGGGAGCUGUUACAGGUGUUGCAUGGCUGUCGUCAGCUCGUGUCGUGAGAUGUUCGGUUAAGUCCGCUAACGAGCGCAACCCGCGCUGUGUGUUACAAGUGUCACACAGUACCGCCGGUAUUAAGUCGGAGGAAGGUGCGGAUGACGUCAAGUCAGCAUGACCUUUAUAUCCAGGGCUACACACACGCUACAAUGGUCAGCACAAUAGGUUGCCAAGCCGCAAGGCGGAGCCAAUCCUCCAAAGCUGGCCUCAGUUCAGAUUGCAGGCUGCAACUCGCCUGCAUGAAGUCGGAGUUGCUAGUAACCGCAGGUCAGCAUACUGCGGUGAAUACGUUCCCGGGGAU